AGUUCCGACGAGAUUCGGUGGGCAAAUGAGGGGGUUUAGUGCCGAAGGUCAUGUUAAUGGAAAACUGAUAAAAGGCUUGAUGAUUGUUUAAGUAUCAAGUAAGAUUUUUAGUUUGGUUGGUGAUAUUGUGCAAAUUAAUUCUUUAUGGCCUCAGAAUCGUUCAAGAUUUUCAUAUGCGUCGGCUUAUGGUGGAGAGCAAUUCUAGCACCAUUAUUAUUCCAGUUUAUGUAAACUAUAUAUUUUACACCUAAAUAAUGUGUAUCCAAAUUAUAUAAAAGAUGUAUAUUUUAUAUUUUUAUAGUUUGACAAUUUGAAAAUUGUAUUAUAUACAUACUGCAUUUGAUGUUUUUUAAACAUUUUUCAAUGUGUGUUA
Mercurialis annua (annual mercury) is the source of this 373-nucleotide long non-coding RNA. RefSeq lists it as uncharacterized. The record is from RefSeq and is a predicted model, not a curated record. The transcript has 2 exons. NCBI's taxonomy places the organism in Eukaryota, Viridiplantae, Streptophyta, Magnoliopsida, Malpighiales, Euphorbiaceae.